RNAcentral lists this ribosomal RNA (425 nucleotides) under uncultured bacterium. RNAcentral's name for it is "bacterial SSU rRNA". It matches the Rfam family "Bacterial small subunit ribosomal RNA", at positions 356 to 773 of the family's 1533-position model. The record is from RNAcentral.
GGGGAAUUUUGGACAAUGGGCGAAAGCCUGAUCCAGCAGUGCCGCGUGAGUGAAGAAGGCCCUUGGGUUGUAAAGCUCUUUCGGUCGGGAAGAAGGAAGGGUGGCUAAUAUCCACCCUGACAGACGGUACCGGCAUAAGAAGCACCGGCUAACUACGUGCCAGCAGCCGCGGUAAUACGUAGGGUGCAAGCGUUAAUCGGAAUGACUGGGCGUAAAGGGUGUGUAGGCGGUCUGCUAAGUCUGAUGUGAAAUCCCCGGGCUCAACCUGGGAACUGCGUUGGAAACUAGCAAACUAGAGUACGUAAGAGGGGGGUGGAAUUCCACGUGUAGCAGUGAAAUGCGUAGAGAUGUGGAGGAACACCGAUGGCGAAGGCAACCCCCUGGGACGAUACUGACGCUGAGGCACGAAAGCGUGGGGAGCAAAC